CUGAAAGCCUGCGAGACAGUUGAUGGUGUCUGUUUUUAGGCGUGACUCCAAAGUGUGUCCUCCAGUGCCCUGGCUGCCUGCUAUCUCUGCUGACCCAAGGAUAAGCUCAUCAGGCGACAAUGGCUCCACUAGAGACAGAUGACACUGCUUUCCAAAAUGUUAUACUCACACAACGGAGCAGGCGUAGCAUCCCUGUUUGCUGCUCUCACGGAUGAGGAACGUUCCAGGAGCUUUCCCCUGAAGCAUCUCCUCGGCCUGCGUCCGGCUCAGUUCACCAACAAACCAACUCGUCUCAUCCUGAUGUGGCAAGUUCUUCUCGUCUCCCUUUAACACGUAUGUGCUGAUAAAAAACAAGAGCCGUCUUGUAACACCUCUGUAACAGUUCUGUAUUUCCUUUACAGUGGCAUUUGUUAAUACUGUAUUCAGAAGAAAUUUGUUAAAACUUACUCAUCAAGGCUUUCACUCUGCGUCCCCAGCCAAUCAUUUAUGCGUUUCUGCCGUACACCUUUGUGAUUGAGCCAGCUGCAAG
Molecule: long non-coding RNA, 529 nt
Organism: Micropterus dolomieu (smallmouth bass)
Lineage: Eukaryota; Metazoa; Chordata; Actinopteri; Centrarchiformes; Centrarchidae
Exons: 3
Source: RefSeq, a predicted model, not a curated record